AUUGAACGCUGGCGGCAUGCCUUACACAUGCAAGUCGAACGGUAACGGGCCUUCGGGUGCCGACGAGUGGCGAACGGGUGAGUAAUACAUCGGAACGUGCCCGACCGUGGGGGAUAACGAGGCGAAAGCUUUGCUAAUACCCCAUACGAUCUACGGAUGAAAGCAGGGGACCGCAAGGCCUUGCGCGGACGGAGCGGCCGAUGGCGGAGUAGGUUGUUGGUGGGAUAAAAGCUUACCAAGCCGACGAUCUGUAGGUGGUCUGAGAGGAUGAUCAGCCACACUGGGACUGAGACACGGCCCAGACUACUACGGGAGGCAGCAGUGGGGAAUUUUGGACAAUGGGCGCAAGCCUGAUCCAGCCAUGCCGCGUGCAGGAUGAAGGCCUUCGGGUUGUAAACUGCUUUUGUACGGAACGAAAAGCCUUCUUUUAAUACAGGAGGGUCAUGACGGUACCGUAAGAAUAAGCACCGGCUAACUACGUG
This 482-nucleotide ribosomal RNA is filed under the name uncultured bacterium. RNAcentral's name for it is "partial 16S ribosomal RNA". It matches the Rfam family "Bacterial small subunit ribosomal RNA", at positions 30 to 507 of the family's 1533-position model. The record is from RNAcentral.